CCUACGGGAGGCAGCAGUGGGGAAUAUUGCACAAUGGGGGAAACCCUGAUGCAGCGACGCCGCGUGAAGGAAGAAGGUCUUCGGAUCGUAAAGCUCUGUCCUAAGGGAAGAAGCAUGACGGUACCUUAGGAGGAAGCCCCGGCUAACUACGUGCCAGCAGCCGCGGCAAAACGCAGGGGGCAAGCGUUAUCCGGAAUCACUGGGUGUAAAGGGUGCGUAGGCGGUAGGGCAAGUCAGAUGUGAAAGCCCGGGGCUCAACCUCGGGAUUGCAUUUGAAACUGUCUUACUAGAGUGCAGGAGAGGAAAGCGGAAUUCCUAGUGUAGCGAUGAAAUGCGUAGAUAUUAGGAAGAACACCAGUGGCGAAGGCGGCUUUCUGGACUGUAACUGACGCUGAGGCACGAAAGCGUGGGGAGCGAACAGGAUUAGAUACCCCUGUAGUC
This 441-nucleotide ribosomal RNA is filed under the name uncultured bacterium. Its description in RNAcentral is "bacterial SSU rRNA". It matches the Rfam family "Bacterial small subunit ribosomal RNA", at positions 338 to 795 of the family's 1533-position model. The record is from RNAcentral.